This 429-nucleotide ribosomal RNA is filed under the name Torneuma deplanatum. Its description in RNAcentral is "SSU rRNA". It matches the Rfam family "Eukaryotic small subunit ribosomal RNA", at positions 1 to 399 of the family's 1831-position model. Lineage: Eukaryota; Metazoa; Arthropoda; Insecta; Coleoptera; Curculionidae. The record is from RNAcentral.
UGGUUAUGACAACCUGGUUGAUCCUGCCAGUAGUCAUAUGCUUGUCUCAAAGAUUAAGCCAUGCAUGUCUCAGUACAAGCCAAAUUAAGGUGAAACCGCGAAAGGCUCAUUAAAUCAGUUAUGGUUCCUUAGAUCGUACCCACAAUUACUUGGAUAACUGUGGUAAUUCUAGAGCUAAUACAUGCAAAUAGAGCUCCGACCGGAGACGGAAGGAGUGCUUUUAUUAGAUCAAAACCAAUCGGUGGCGGGUUCGCUCGUCAUCGUACAACUUGGUGACUCUGAAUAACUUUACGCUGAUCGCACGGUCCUCGCACCGGCGACGCAUCUUUCAAAUGUCUGCCUUAUCAACUGUCGAUGGUAGGUUCUGCGCCUACCAUGGUUGUAACGGGUAACGGGGAAUCAGGGUUCGAUUCCGGAGAGGGAGCCUGA